AUGCCGCCUAUUGGUACUAGUGGAGUAGGAUUGGCCUGUAAUACAGAACCUAUAGGUGGUGUAACCUUUCGCUCAAUACUCAAAUCUACAAUUGAAGCAUCUGAGGCUGCAUCAAUCGAGGAUACACGACAUAAGGAAUUGACAAAUCCUGAUGUUGGUAAAAUAUACGUGUUGAUCAAGGCCAAGGACAAUGAACCAGCCAUGAAAAGAUUGAAGAACGAGGUAGAAGAUACUGAGUUGUUCAGAUGUUUACAGGAAAUCCAUGGGAAAAACUACCACAGCUUUGUAUUAAGCAAGCAGGUUCCAGUCGUUGGUAAUUUCAGGGAAGCCUACAUUGGCAUUGCUCCUGAGUUAGCCAAAGAGAUCGCGGAAGAAGUGGAUGUUAUCGUAAACUCUGCAGCAAAUACCACUUUUGAUGAGAGGUAUGAUGUAGCACUAGACAUCAACACCGUGGGGCCAUUCCGGAUAAUGAGUUUCGCGCAGCGGUUUCGAAGACUGAAGCUCUUCUUGCAAGUAUCAACAGGUCAGAAUGCCAAAUAA
RNAcentral lists this ribosomal RNA (540 nucleotides) under Triticum aestivum (bread wheat). RNAcentral's name for it is "partial small subunit ribosomal RNA". Lineage: Eukaryota; Viridiplantae; Streptophyta; Magnoliopsida; Poales; Poaceae. The record is from RNAcentral.